This 460-nucleotide ribosomal RNA is filed under the name uncultured bacterium. Its description in RNAcentral is "partial 16S ribosomal RNA". It matches the Rfam family "Bacterial small subunit ribosomal RNA", at positions 338 to 795 of the family's 1533-position model. The record is from RNAcentral.
CCUACGGGUGGCAGCAGUGAGGAAUAUUGGUCAAUGGACGAGAGUCUGAACCAGCCAAGUAGCGUGAAGGACGACUGCCCUAUGGGUUGUAAACUUCUUUUGUAGAGGUAUAAAACGAGGCACGCGUGCCUUUCUGAAUGUACUCUAUGAAUAAGGAUCGGCUAACUCCGUGCCAGCAGCCGCGGUAAUACGGAGGAUCCGAGCGUUAUCCGGAUUUAUUGGGUUUAAAGGGAGCGGCGAUGGGUAGUUAAGUCAGUGGUGAAAUUAUGAGGCUGAAACGUAAGAUUGCAAUUGAUACUGGUAGUCUUGAGUACAUGUGGGGUAGGCGGAAUGCGUGGUGGAGCGGUGAAAUGCAUAGAUAGCACGCAGAACGCCGAUUGCGAAGGCAGCUUACUAAGCUGUGAAUGACAUUGAUGCACGAAAGUGUGGGCAUCAAACAGGAUUAGAUACCCGUGUAGUC